This 76-nucleotide transfer RNA is filed under the name Larix gmelinii. RNAcentral describes it as "tRNA-Val". It matches the Rfam family "tRNA". From Rfam's summary of the family: Transfer RNA (tRNA) molecules are approximately 80 nucleotides in length. Their secondary structure includes four short double-helical elements and three loops (D, anti-codon, and T loops). Further hydrogen bonds mediate the characteristic L-shaped molecular structure. tRNAs have two regions of fundamental functional importance: the anti-codon, which is responsible for specific mRNA codon recognition, and the 3' end, to which the tRNAs corresponding amino acid is attached (by aminoacyl-tRNA synthetases). tRNAs cope with the degeneracy of the genetic code in two manners: having more than one tRNA (with a specific anti-codon) for a particular amino acid; and 'wobble' base-pairing, i.e. permitting non-standard base-pairing at the 3rd anti-codon position. Lineage: Eukaryota; Viridiplantae; Streptophyta; Pinopsida; Pinales; Pinaceae. RNAcentral also lists the same sequence under 2 other names. The record is from RNAcentral.
AGGGCUAUAGCUCAGCAUGGUAGAGCACCUCGUUUACACACCGAGAAGGUCUACGGUUCGAGCCCGUAUAGCCCUA